GAUGGAAAAAACACAUUUACACCAAUGAUAAAGAAAGAGAGUGUUUAUUCUCUUUAUUUGAACUGUCCACAUCAACAGAACGUCAUAUUUCCUAUGACCAUUGAAUGCACCUCUCAGUUCACCCCACGUGAGGGCAUCUAGCUCAGCGACCAAUCAGAGCCUACGCAGGCCGCACUGACCCUGUCAGCCAGGAAGUGAGGUGAAGGUGCAUGGUGCUCCCGGGUUUUUCUCAUCUCAGCUAGAGGAGUGGAGGCAUCUGCUACUCAAACCGAGAAAUCGCAGGGACAAAAGAGAGGAAAAACUCAGAAUUGAGAGGAAGGAAAGCCAGCAUACUUACCUGCUGGAUGUCCGGAGUCGAGUGGCUGGAUGAAGGAGAGAAGCAACGUCGGCUAACCACUCACCUUUCAUCCGGAGAGCUGCUGCAAUUUCAACACCAGCGUGUGUUAGGCUUUUGUGAAACAGAGCAACGGUCAGGUUUUUGGAGAGGACAGAAAAGUUCGAGGACCAGGAC
Molecule: long non-coding RNA, 511 nt
Organism: Oreochromis aureus
Lineage: Eukaryota; Metazoa; Chordata; Actinopteri; Cichliformes; Cichlidae
Exons: 3
Source: RefSeq, a predicted model, not a curated record